This 466-nucleotide ribosomal RNA is filed under the name Klebsiella pneumoniae subsp. pneumoniae. Its description in RNAcentral is "bacterial SSU rRNA". It matches the Rfam family "Bacterial small subunit ribosomal RNA", at positions 338 to 796 of the family's 1533-position model. Lineage: Bacteria; Pseudomonadati; Pseudomonadota; Gammaproteobacteria; Enterobacterales; Enterobacteriaceae. The record is from RNAcentral.
CCUAUGGGAGGCAGCAGUAGGGAAUCUUCCACAAUGGACGCAAGUCUGAUGGAGCAACGCCGCGUGAGUGAAGAAGGGUUUCGGCUCGUAAAGCUCUGUUGUUGGUGAAGAAGGACAGGGGUAGUAACUGACCUUUGUUUGACGGUAAUCAAUUAGAAAGUCACGGCUAACUACGUGCCAGCAGCCGCGGUAAUACGUAGGUGGCAAGCGUUGUCCGGAUUUAUUGGGCGUAAAGCGAGUGCAGGCGGCUCGAUAAGUCUGAUGUGAAAGCCUUCGGCUCAACCGGAGAAUUGCAUCAGAAACUGUCGAGCUUGAGUACAGAAGAGGAGAGUGGAACUCCAUGUGUAGCGGUGAAAUGCGUAGAUAUAUGGAAGAACACCGGUGGCGAAGGCGGCUCUCUGGUCUGUUACUGACGCUGAGGCUCGAAAGCAUGGGUAGCGAACAGGAUUAGAUACCCCGGUAGUCC